GGUCGAAUAAGGCGGUCGCGCCGCAUCCGACAAUGGCCGGCACAUUUGCCUGAUGCGACGCUGACGCGUCUUAUCAGGCC
Molecule: non-coding RNA, 80 nt
Organism: Escherichia coli str. K-12 substr. MG1655
Lineage: Bacteria; Pseudomonadati; Pseudomonadota; Gammaproteobacteria; Enterobacterales; Enterobacteriaceae
Source: Rfam